AAUUAAGUUUAAUUGAAAAACGAAAUACAUUAUCAAUUUCCAAAAAUAAUAACCAAUCAAAAUCAACAUAUAAGAUUUGAUAUCUAAAUUUUAAUUAAUUUAAUUUAAUUAGAAAAACGAAAUACAUUAUUAAUUUCCAAAAAAGUAACCAAUUAAAAUCAACAAAUUAUAUUUGAUAUCUAAAUUAUCAUAUUAAUUUUUUAUUAAUUAUUAUAGUUCACUUCUCAUCUUUAUAUGAUUCUAUUUUUGUGGAAAAAUAAUAUCAUCAUUAUAAAAAAAUAAUUAGAGUUUUUUUGCAUAUGCCACAAUUUGAAUCCUAGAAUUGACGGGUUUAGAUCGAUAUUAAUACAAGAUGGUAUACUACAGGUGAAACUCUUAAAUUAACAAUCAAACUACAAGUGUAUAAUCUUAAACACUAAACAAUAUAGAUAAUAUCAAGAAAACAUAUACAACUUACAGUUUACUAUACAUUUAAAAUCAAAUAAAAUAAUGUCAUAUAUUUUUAAAUCAUCUUUACAAUAAAAGUUUUUAGUUUAACUAAAAUAUAAGCCUACCUGCGGUAUACAGCAGAUUAAUAUCUAGAUUAUAGGGCUUAUUGGAUCUAAAGAUGGGUCAUCAAAGAUUUUCUAAACUGAAGCAAAAUAUACUGAAUAUUCAAAUAUCUAUCUGUUACCAAAUUAUAAACAAAUAAGUCAAUUUAAUAUUUUAUAUACGAAAUCAAUUAAAUCUUAAUCACAUAAAAAUUAGCACAAAAAAGUAUUCAACAAUUAAAAAAUUAUCAAAUCUCUGUGUUAUAUAAGUUUUGAUACUAUAUUCGAAUAAUGUAAUAUACCUUUUCAAUUUGUAUUCUUUAACUAAUUUAAGCUAACUAAUAUAUUUGCUAAUCUUAUACCUAUCAAAACCGACUAUCGUUUCUUAUCUCUAUAGUAGUUUUGCAAGACUUUUUUGGUGGAUUUGGAUAAAAGUGCAUUCGGGUCAUAUGGUACAUUCCCCUAUUAAAUAAAUAUGGUGCACUCCUAUGUUAUUAGCUAAAAUGUUUAUAAUAUAAUUAAGAGUCAUAUCAUUAAUAAAAUUAAUAUUAAUAAAAUAAAUGGCUUUUUGGCAAAACGAAUUUGGAGGGACGGUUUUUUAAUCAACAUUAAUAAAAAAGUAAAAUAUAAUUAAUCCACCGUUUCAAUACGGAUUAAAUCUUUAAUUUAUUAUUUUUUAAGACCACUAAUAUUAAACAUAUCAAAUCAUGCUAAUUUAGAAAAGAUUAUAUAAAACCAAAAAUGUUAUGUGGUAUGUAUAAUGUUACUAUAUAUAAAAUUAAACAAUAAAAUAUAAAUGUAUUAGAGAAUGAUACAAUUUGCAAAACUUUUAUAUAUAAAAAAUAAUUCUUAAAUUUUAAAAAUUACUACUUUAAAAAACAAAUCACGGGACGGAUAAAGAAAUUACAGAACGAGUUUUAUUUUGGAAUUGGGUUAUAUGGUGGAUGUAUUUGAAUCAAUAUUUAUAAAAUUUUAAAAUAUUAUUAAUAUGCUGUUUUAAUAGGGAUUAAAACUUCAGUUUUUUAACAAUUGUCUCAUGGAUUCGUGGUAUAGCGUUACUUAAUAACAAUUAUAAACUGUAAAAUAAAAAUAUUU
RNAcentral lists this small RNA (1625 nucleotides) under Arabidopsis thaliana (thale cress). RNAcentral's name for it is "ATSL042200". The record is from RNAcentral. Lineage: Eukaryota; Viridiplantae; Streptophyta; Magnoliopsida; Brassicales; Brassicaceae.